Molecule: ribosomal RNA, 254 nt
Filed under: uncultured bacterium
Lineage: Bacteria
Description: partial 16S ribosomal RNA
Rfam family: Bacterial small subunit ribosomal RNA
Source: RNAcentral
UACGGGGGGAGGCAAGCGUUGUUCGGAUUUACUGGGCGUAAAGGGCGCGUAGGCGGCGUGACAAGUCACUUGUGAAAUCUCCGGGCUUAACUCGGAACGGUCAAGUGAUACUGUCGUGCUAGAGUACAGAAGGGGCAACUGGAAUUCUCGGUGUAGCGGUGAAAUGCGUAGAUAUCGAGAGGAACACCUGCGGCGAAGGCGGGUUGCUGGGCUGAUACUGACGCUGAGGCGCGAAAGCUAGGGGAGCGAACGGG